Molecule: ribosomal RNA, 1445 nt
Filed under: uncultured organism
Description: 16S ribosomal RNA
Rfam family: Bacterial small subunit ribosomal RNA
Source: RNAcentral
GCUAGCUACAGGCUUAACACAUGCAAGUCGAGGGGCAGCAUGGUCUUAGCUUGCUAAGGCCGAUGGCGACCGGCGCACGGGUGAGUAACACGUAUCCAACCUGCCGUCUACUCUUGGACAGCCUUCUGAAAGGAAGGUUAAUACAAGAUGGCAUCAUGAGUCCGCAUGUUCACAUGAUUAAAGGUAUUCCGGUAGACGAUGGGGAUGCGUUCCAUUAGAUAGUAGGCGGGGUAACGGCCCACCUAGUCUUCGAUGGAUAGGGGUUCUGAGAGGAAGGUCCCCCACAUUGGAACUGAGACACGGUCCAAACUCCUACGGGAGGCAGCAGUGAGGAAUAUUGGUCAAUGGGCGAGAGCCUGAACCAGCCAAGUAGCGUGAAGGAUGACUGCCCUAUGGGUUGUAAACUUCUUUUAUAAAGGAAUAAAGUCGGGUAUGGAUACCCGUUUGCAUGUACUUUAUGAAUAAGGAUCGGCUAACUCCGUGCCAGCAGCCGCGGUAAUACGGAGGAUCCGAGCGUUAUCCGGAUUUAUUGGGUUUAAAGGGAGCGUAGAUGGAUGUUUAAGUCAGUUGUGAAAGUUUGCGGCUCAACCGUAAAAUUGCAGUUGAUACUGGAUAUCUUGAGUGCAGUUGAGGCAGGCGGAAUUCGUGGUGUAGCGGUGAAAUGCUUAGAUAUCACGAAGAACUCCGAUUGCGAAGGCAGCCUGCUAAGCUGCAACUGACAUUGAGGCUCGAAAGUGUGGGUAUCAAACAGGAUUAGAUACCCUGGUAGUCCACACGGUAAACGAUGAAUACUCGCUGUUUGCGAUAUACUGCAAGCGGCCAAGCGAAAGCGUUAAGUAUUCCACCUGGGGAGUACGCCGGCAACGGUGAAACUCAAAGGAAUUGACGGGGGCCCGCACAAGCGGAGGAACAUGUGGUUUAAUUCGAUGAUACGCGAGGAACCUUACCCGGGCUUAAAUUGCAGAUGAAUUACGGUGAAAGCCGUAAGCCGCAAGGCAUCUGUGAAGGUGCUGCAUGGUUGUCGUCAGCUCGUGCCGUGAGGUGUCGGCUUAAGUGCCAUAACGAGCGCAACCCUUGUUGUCAGUUACUAACAGGUCAUGCUGAGGACUCUGACAAGACUGCCAUCGUAAGAUGUGAGGAAGGUGGGGAUGACGUCAAAUCAGCACGGCCCUUACGUCCGGGGCUACACACGUGUUACAAUGGGGGGUACAGAGGGCCGCUACUACGCGAGUGGAUGCCAAUCCCCAAAACCUCUCUCAGUUCGGACUGGAGUCUGCAACCCGACUCCACGAAGCUGGAUUCGCUAGUAAUCGCGCAUCAGCCACGGCGCGGUGAAUACGUUCCCGGGCCUUGUACACACCGCCCGUCAAGCCAUGGGAGCCGGGGGUACCUGAAGUGCGUAACCGCGAGGAGCGCCCUAGGGUAAAACUGGUGACUGGGGCUAA